Molecule: microRNA precursor, 63 nt
Filed under: Loxodonta africana (African savanna elephant)
Lineage: Eukaryota; Metazoa; Chordata; Mammalia; Proboscidea; Elephantidae
Also listed under: 1 other name
Description: Laf-Mir-10-P1c-v1_pre stem-loop
Rfam family: mir-10 microRNA precursor family
About the family: In this case the mature sequence comes from the 5' arm of the precursor. The extents of the hairpin precursors are not generally known and are estimated based on hairpin prediction.
Source: RNAcentral
UACCCUGUAGAUCCGAAUUUGUGUAAGGAAUUUUGUGAUCACAAAUUCGUAUCUAGGGGAAUA